Bufo gargarizans (Asiatic toad) is the source of this 768-nucleotide non-coding RNA. The record is from the annotation of a RefSeq genome assembly. NCBI's taxonomy places the organism in Eukaryota, Metazoa, Chordata, Amphibia, Anura, Bufonidae.
UUUUGAUUGAAGACACCGUGUGAUGGGAUUAUGUCACACGUUACCCAACGCAAGAUUUCGUGAGGUAUAUUCAAUCAAGAUGGCCACAACAGCGUCUGCGCAAGCAAAUGGAUGAGAUGAGUGACAACAGAGUCACUUCUCCCUCUGUGUUUGUGUUGAAGUCUCAGAAGGAAAACCCUCUUGUGGCUUGUUUGGUGAAAGAUUUCUACCCAAACAAUCUUGAGAUCUAUAUGAAUUCCACAAAAAACAGUUUUAGUCAUGACAAGGUCUCCACAAAACUGUCACCACAGGGAAAAUACAGUGCUGCGCUUGUGGCCAACUUGGGGACAAAUAAUGUGCAGUGUCAAGCCAAGCACCAAGACACUUGGGUGACAAACAUGGAGACCACUUCAAAACUGAAAGUCCUGAAUAAUCAGCCUAAAGGAAGAGAUGGACGAGAUUCCAUAAAAUGUCAACAUCAGCAAACUUCUGAAAUAAGUAACACCCUCUCCUUAAAUAUAAUUGGAAUCAGAGUGCUGGUCACCAAGGCGAUUGUCUUCAACACUAUUAUGACUGCUAAGUUCCUGGGAAUAUGAGAUUGUAUUAAGAAGAACAUUUAUUCCUGAGACCAUUUAUUUAAUCGGUUUCUUUCACAAUUAUCUUUGUAAUGUUAACUAUCUAUCUCUCAUAUCUAUAUCUAUCUAUCUAUUGUUCUGUAUCUCUGUUGAUCUAUUUAUCGCUCUAUUUACACUGAAUCUUUUUAUUUUCUUUAUUCAAUUGCAAACUCAU